This 116-nucleotide ribosomal RNA is filed under the name Esox lucius (northern pike). The record is from RNAcentral. Lineage: Eukaryota; Metazoa; Chordata; Actinopteri; Esociformes; Esocidae.
GCUUCCGGCCACACCUCCCUGAGCACGCCCGAUCUCGUCUGAUCUCGGAAGCUAAGCAGGGUCGGGCCGGUAGUACUUGGAUGGGAGACCGCCUGGGAUACCAGGUGCUGUAAGCC